This 969-nucleotide non-coding RNA is filed under the name Pan troglodytes (chimpanzee). Lineage: Eukaryota; Metazoa; Chordata; Mammalia; Primates; Hominidae. The record is from RNAcentral.
GGGCGGUCGCCCUGACAACGCAGACGCCAGCCCGCACAAUGACUUCCAGCUGGAGCAGCCCAGCCAGCCUGCGCGCUCACUCGCUUGCUUGCGCUGGGCUUCAGGGCGCCCGGGUUUUUCUGUGGACCUAAAUUUUCAUUUCUCUGGGAUAAAUGUCCAGGAGUGUGAUUGCUGGGUCAUAUGGUGUCACAUGCCAUUCUUCUGAUUUUCAUGAAUAUCCUCUAAAAGGCAGCUAAACACUCGCCGUCUUCUUCCUUUUGCCUCAUCAAGCACGGGGGAUGCUGGAAGGAAGAGGCUCCAGGGACCUACCUGACUUCCUAUUCAUGCUGAUCCCACUGAGACCCUUAUCAACCCUGACCUGUUCCCCAUGUGCCUCUUAGAUCUGCCUUAUGUUCCAGUAUGGAAGCUUUGUAAAUUUUCCUUGUUAAAAACAAGCACCAUCUUCAUACCUGCUGAAACCUAAUUCUCAUCCAGAGGGAUGUGAGGAAUAAAGGGGGCAGUGAUACCAACAGCGGGCGUAGGCAGCCCAUCCAUCCCACGCAGGUUUAUGGUCCCGUGAUCACAAGAUGGCUGCAGAAGCUCUGAGCAUCACCUCAUAUAGCUCAACAAAGGGGUCUGAUCACCAUACUAUUGCCUGCAGAUGAAGAGGAGCAACAUAUUGUAUCCUGUGUUGCUCAAGAGAGCAGAAUUAGGACUUAGAAUAGCCUUCUAAGAAUUGCUCUGUGCCACCAAAUGGGUGGCAGACUUCUAGACAAGUUUUCUAAACUUGUCAGCCUCAACUACAAGUCAGCUGGUGAGAGAAAACAAACAUUGCUAUCCAGGGGCUUUUGCUUGUCAGCCUCAACUACAAGUGAGCUGGUGAGAGAAAACAAACAUCACUAUCCAGGGGCUUUUGCUGGACUUACUGAAUGUAACAGAGAUCGGAUUGGAUUGUCUCUAAUGUCUGUUUCACGAAUAGAGUUCUGUAAA